GACGAACGCUGGCGGCGUGCUUAACACAUGCAAGUCGAACGGAAAGGCCCUGCUUUUGUGGGGUGCUCGAGUGGCGAACGGGUGAGUAACACGUGAGUAACCUGCCCUUGACUUUGGGAUAACUUCAGGAAACUGGGGCUAAUACCGGAUAGGAGCUCCUGCUGCAUGGUGGGGGUUGGAAAGUUUCGGCGGUUGGGGAUGGACUCGCGGCUUAUCAGCUUGUUGGUGGGGUAGUGGCUUACCAAGGCUUUGACGGGUAGCCGGCCUGAGAGGGUGUCCGGCCACAUUGGGACUGAGAUACGGCCCAGACUCCUACGGGAGGCAGCAGUGGGGAAUAUUGCACAAUGGGCGGAAACCUGAUGCAGCAACGCCGCGUGCGGGAUGACGGCCUUCGGGUUGUAAACCGCUUUCGCCUGUGACGAAGCGUGAGUGACGGUAAUGGGUAAAGAAGCACCGGCUAACUACGUG
RNAcentral lists this ribosomal RNA (468 nucleotides) under uncultured bacterium. RNAcentral describes it as "partial 16S ribosomal RNA". It matches the Rfam family "Bacterial small subunit ribosomal RNA", at positions 28 to 507 of the family's 1533-position model. The record is from RNAcentral.